RNAcentral lists this ribosomal RNA (253 nucleotides) under uncultured bacterium. RNAcentral describes it as "partial 16S ribosomal RNA". It matches the Rfam family "Bacterial small subunit ribosomal RNA", at positions 524 to 776 of the family's 1533-position model. The record is from RNAcentral.
UACGGAGGGUGCAAGCGUUAUCCGGAUUUACUGGGUUUAAAGGGUGUGUAGGCGGGUAUUUAAGUCAGUGGUGAAAUCUCCGAGCUCAACUUGGAAACUGCCAUUGAUACUAUUUAUCUUGAAUUUUGUUGAGGUAGGCGGAAUAUGUCAUGUAGCGGUGAAAUGCAUAGAUAUGACAUAGAACUCCGAUUGCGAAGGCAGCUUACUAAACAAAUAUUGACGCUGAGGCACGAAAGCGUGGGUAGCAAACAGG